Bison bison bison is the source of this 99-nucleotide ribosomal RNA. The record is from Ensembl. NCBI's taxonomy places the organism in Eukaryota, Metazoa, Chordata, Mammalia, Artiodactyla, Bovidae.
UAUCAGCCUGAAGGCGCCCGAUCUCGUCUAAUCUCGGAAGCUAAGCAGGGUCGGGCCUGGUUAGUAUCUUGGAUGGGAGACCACCUGGGAAUCCCGGGU